Molecule: transfer RNA, 63 nt
Filed under: Argas persicus
Lineage: Eukaryota; Metazoa; Arthropoda; Arachnida; Ixodida; Argasidae
Description: tRNA-Leu
Source: RNAcentral
ACUAAUUUGGCAGAUUAAUUGUAUCAAAUUUAGAAUUUGAGGAUAGAGUUUCUCUAAUUAGUA